UCCCAGACUCCUACGGGAGGCAGCAGUGAGGAAUAUUGGUCAAUGGGCGGAAGCCUGAACCAGCCAAGUCGCGUGAGGGAAGAAGGCCCUGCGGGUCGCAGACCUCUUUGGACGGGGAGCAAGGCCGCCGACGUGUCGGCGGAAGGAGAGUACCCGUAGAACAAGCAUCGGCUAACUCCGUGCCAGCAGCCGCGGUAAUACGGAGGAUGCGAGCGUUAUCCGGAAUGAUUGGGCGUAAAGGGUGCGCAGGCGGCAUGUCAAGUCUGAAGUGAAAGGUACGGGCUUAACCUGUACAGGCUUUGGAAACUGGCAUGCUAGAGGACAGGAGAGGGCGGUGGAACUCCAUGUGUAGCGGUAAAAUGCGUAGAUAUAUGGAAGAACACCAGUGGCGAAGGCGGCCGCCUGGACUGUUACUGACGCUCAGGCACGAAAGCGUGGGGAGCAAAUAGGAUUAGAUACCCCUGUA
RNAcentral lists this ribosomal RNA (466 nucleotides) under uncultured bacterium. Its description in RNAcentral is "bacterial SSU rRNA". It matches the Rfam family "Bacterial small subunit ribosomal RNA", at positions 329 to 792 of the family's 1533-position model. The record is from RNAcentral.